AUUGAACGCUGGCGGCGUGCCUAACACAUGCAAGUCGAGCGGUAACAGGUGUAGCAACACAUGCUGACGAGCGGCGAACGGGUGAGUAAUGCUUUGGAAUCUUCCCAGUAGUGGGGAAUAACCAGUCGAAAGAUUGGCUAAUACCGCAUACGUCUGUAAAGGGAAAGCGGGGGCUCGUAAGACCUCGCGCUAUUGGAUGAGCCAAAGUCGGAUUAGCUAGUUGGUGGGGUAAUGGCCUACCAAGGCGACAAUCCGUAGCUGGUCUGAGAGGACGACCAGUCACAC
RNAcentral lists this ribosomal RNA (285 nucleotides) under uncultured bacterium. RNAcentral's name for it is "partial 16S ribosomal RNA". It matches the Rfam family "Bacterial small subunit ribosomal RNA", at positions 30 to 313 of the family's 1533-position model. The record is from RNAcentral.